UAAGGAAUAUUGGUCAAUGGAGGCAACUCUGAACCAGCCAUGCCGCGUGAAGGAUGAAGGCCCUAUGGGUUGUAAACUUCUUUUAUACGGGAAGAAACCUCCGCACGUGUGCGGAGCUGACGGUACUGUAAGAAUAAGGAUCGGCUAACUCCGUGCCAGCAGCCGCGGUAAUACGGAGGAUCCAAGCGUUAUCCGGAUUUAUUGGGUUUAAAGGGUGCGUAGGCGGAAUAGUAAGUCAGUGGUGAAAGCC
This 250-nucleotide ribosomal RNA is filed under the name uncultured bacterium. RNAcentral describes it as "partial 16S ribosomal RNA". It matches the Rfam family "Bacterial small subunit ribosomal RNA", at positions 355 to 602 of the family's 1533-position model. The record is from RNAcentral.